RNAcentral lists this ribosomal RNA (650 nucleotides) under uncultured bacterium. RNAcentral describes it as "bacterial SSU rRNA". The stretch from base 1 to 543 matches the Rfam family "Bacterial small subunit ribosomal RNA", at positions 338 to 873 of the family's 1533-position model. The record is from RNAcentral.
CCUACGGGAGGCAGCAGUAGGGAAUCUUCCACAAUGGGCGAAAGCCUGAUGGAGCAACGCCGCGUGAGUGAUGAAGGCCUUCGGGUUGUAAAACUCUGUCAUUCGGGACGAACCGGAGUCUGAGGAAAUGCAGACUCUCUGACGGUACCGGAGGAGGAAGCCCCGGCUAACUACGUGCCAGCAGCCGCGGUAAUACGUAGGGGGCAAGCGUUGUCCGGAUUCACUGGGCGUAAAGCGCGCGCAGGCGGUGAUGUAAGUCUGAGGUGAAAACCCGAAGCUCAACUUCGGGACUGCCUUGGAUACUGCGUCACUUGAGGAUAGGAGAGGCAAGGGGAAUUCCACGUGUAGCGGUGAAAUGCGUAGAGAUGUGGAGGAACGCCUGUGGCGAAGGCGCCUUGCUGGCCUAUUUCUGACGCUGAGGCGCGAAAGCGUGGGGAGCAAACAGGAUUAGAUACCCUGGUAGUCCACGCUGUAAACGAUGAGUGCUAGGUGUAGGUGGGCUCAUACCACUCUGUGCGAGCGUACGACAUAGUCGACUCCGUUCCGUUCGGGUAGGUUACGGUUCGGCGAGACGUUAGAACGUUAAAGUUAGUUAGUUAGUUACGGCGUUGAGACGUUCGCCGACGGACGACGACGAGGGAGGUUAGGAG